RNAcentral lists this ribosomal RNA (207 nucleotides) under uncultured bacterium. RNAcentral describes it as "partial 16S ribosomal RNA". It matches the Rfam family "Bacterial small subunit ribosomal RNA", at positions 1286 to 1500 of the family's 1533-position model. The record is from RNAcentral.
UCUCAGUUCGGAUCGGAGUCUGNAACCCGACUCCGUGAAGCUGGAUUCGCUAGUAAUCGCGCAUCAGCCAUGGCGCGGUGAAUACGUUCCCGGGCCUUGUACACACCGCCCGUCAAGCCAUGGGAGCCGGGGGUGCUUGAAGUGCGUCGCCGCAAGGCGCGCCCUAGAGCAAAACCGGUGACUGGGGCUAAGUCGUAACAAGGUAUC